This 460-nucleotide ribosomal RNA is filed under the name uncultured bacterium. RNAcentral describes it as "partial 16S ribosomal RNA". It matches the Rfam family "Bacterial small subunit ribosomal RNA", at positions 338 to 795 of the family's 1533-position model. The record is from RNAcentral.
CCUACGGGAGGCAGCAGUGAGGAAUAUUGGUCAAUGGCCGUAAGGCUGAACCAGCCAAGUCGCGUGAAGGAAGAAGGAUCUAUGGUUUGUAAACUUCUUUUAUAGGGGAAUAAAGGUAUCCACGUGUGGAUAUUUGCAUGUACCCUAUGAAUAAGCAUCGGCUAACUCCGUGCCAGCAGCCGCGGUAAUACGGAGGAUGCGAGCGUUAUCCGGAUUUAUUGGGUUUAAAGGGUGCGUAGGUUGUUUUUUAAGUCAGCGGUGAAAGUUUGUGGCUCAACCAUAAAAUUGCCGUUGAAACUGGAAGACGUGAGUGUGUUUGAGGUAGGCGGAAUGCGUGGUGUAGCGGUGAAAUGCAUAGAUAGCACGCAGAACUCCGAUUGCGAAGGCAGCUUACUAAGCCAUAACUGACACUGAAGCACGAAAGCGUGGGGAUCAAACAGGAUUAGAUACCCUUGUAGUC